AGAAGAUUUUGUCUUUAAUCGGAGAUGCAGCAGUGACAGGCAUCAAAUCGGGUGUGGAUUCAGAAGAAGUGACCGUGACUUUGGAGCUUUUGCCGGCUGUUUGACCUUCCACAAUGGACCUUGCUGAGGAGAGAGAAGUUGGAUAGGCCCCGCUGGAGCCUGAGAUGAAUUUGUCACAGAUCCUAUUAGAUGGCAACCCUCCCCUGUACCAAACUCCCAAACCAAAGAGGUUCCAAACAGAGGAAAUGAUUGAAAUCCAGACCCAGCUGUUGAAAGAAGUUACUGCACUAUGAAACGUUCAGGAGGAGUUGCUUCAGGUGGAG
Molecule: long non-coding RNA, 323 nt
Organism: Cyprinus carpio carpio
Lineage: Eukaryota; Metazoa; Chordata; Actinopteri; Cypriniformes; Cyprinidae
Source: Ensembl